RNAcentral lists this ribosomal RNA (1437 nucleotides) under metagenome. RNAcentral's name for it is "bacterial SSU rRNA". It matches the Rfam family "Bacterial small subunit ribosomal RNA". The record is from RNAcentral.
GUACAGCGGCGCACGGGUGAGUAACGCGUGGGUAACCUACCUCGAAGUCUGGAAUAACUCGGGGAAACCUGAGCUAAUACCGGAUGAGCCCACGAGGCCCUCGGGUCAUGUGGGAAAAGAUGGCCUCUGCUUGCAAGCUAUCGCUACGAGAUGAGCCCGCGUCCCAUUAGCUAGUUGGUGAGGUAACGGCUCACCAAGGCGACGAUGGGUAGCUGGUCUGAGAGGACGAUCAGCCACACUGGAACUGAGACACGGUCCAGACUCCUACGGGAUGCAGCAGUCGGGAAUAUUGGGCAAUGGGCGCAAGCCUGACCCAGCGACGCCGCGUGAGGGAUGAAGGCCUUCGGGUCGUAAACCUCUGUCGGGGGGAAGAACGGCGGUGAGUUGAAUAAUCUCACUGUCUGACGGUACCUCCAAAGGAAGCGCCGGCUAACUCCGUGCCAGCAGCCGCGGUAAUACGGAGGGCGCAAGCGUUGUUCGGAAUCACUGGGCGUAAAGCGCGUGUAGGCGGCCGGGCAAGUCGGAUGUGAAAUCCCGAGGCUCAACCUCGGAACUGCACUCGAAACUGCUCGGCUCGAGUCCCGGAGAGGAUGGCGGAAUUCCCGGUGUAGGGGUGAAAUCCGUAGAUAUCGGGAGGAACACCAGUGGCGAAGGCGGCCAUCUGGACGGUAACUGACGCUGAGACGCGAAAGCGUGGGGAGCAAACAGGAUUAGAUACCCUGGUAGUCCACGCCGUAAACGGUGAGUGCUAGACGUCGCGGGUAUUGACCCCCGCGGUGUCGAAGCUAACGCGUUAAGCACUCCGCCUGGGGAGUACGGCCGCAAGGCUAAAACUCAAAGGAAUUGACGGGGGCCCGCACAAGCGGUGGAGCAUGUGGUUCAAUUCGAAACCACGCGAAGAACCUUACCUGGGCUUGACAUGUUUGAGAACUUUCUCGAAAGAGAGAGGUGCCCGCAAGGGAGCUCUUUCACAGGUGCUGCAUGGCUGUCGUCAGCUCGUGUCGUGAGGUGUUGGGUUAAGUCCCGCAACGAGCGCAACCCCUAUGGUUAGUUGCCAGCGGAUCAAGCCGGGCACUCUAAUCAGACUGCCGGUGUUAAGCCGGAGGAAGGUGGGGACGACGUCAAGUCCUCACGGCCCUUAUGCCCAGGGCUACUCACGUGCUACAAUGGUCGGUACAGAGGGCCGCUAACCCGCGAGGGGGAGCAAAUCCCAAAAAGCCGACCUCAGUUCGGAUUGGAGUCUGCAAUUCGACUCCAUGAAGGCGGAAUCGCUAGUAAUCGCGGAUCGGCAUGCCGCGGUGAAUACGUUCCCGGGCCUUGUACACACCGCCCGUCACACCACGAAAGCCGGUGGAACCAGAAGUCGGUAACCCAACCCGCAAGGGAGGGAGCCGCCCAAGGUUUGGCCGGUGAUUGGGGUGAAGUCGUAACAAGGUA